GAUGAACGCUGGCGGCGUGCCUAAUACAUGCAAGUCGAGCGAACGGACGAGAAGCUUGCUUCUCUGAUGUUAGCGGCGGACGGGUGAGUAACACGUGGAUAACCUACCUAUAAGACUGGGAUAACUUCGGGAAACCGGAGCUAAUACCGGAUAAUAUUUUGAACCGCAUGGUUCAAAAGUGAAAGACGGUCUUGCUGUCACUUAUAGAUGGAUCCGCGCUGCAUUAGCUAGUUGGUAAGGUAACGGCUUACCAAGGCAACGAUGCAUAGCCGACCUGAGAGGGUGAUCGGCCACACUGGAACUGAGACACGGUCCAGACUCCUACGGGAGGCAGCAGCAGGGACUCUUCCGCAAUGGGCGAAAGCCUGACGGAGCAACGCCGCGUGAGUGAUGAAGGUCUUCGGAUCGUAAAACUCUGUUAUUAGGGAAGAACAUAUGUGUAAGUAACUGUGCACAUCUUGACGGUACCUAAUCAGAAAGCCACGGCUAACUACGUG
Molecule: ribosomal RNA, 497 nt
Filed under: uncultured bacterium
Lineage: Bacteria
Description: partial 16S ribosomal RNA
Rfam family: Bacterial small subunit ribosomal RNA
Source: RNAcentral